Molecule: ribosomal RNA, 449 nt
Filed under: uncultured bacterium
Lineage: Bacteria
Description: SSU rRNA
Rfam family: Bacterial small subunit ribosomal RNA
Source: RNAcentral
AGGACGAACGCUGGCGGCGUGCUUAACACAUGCAAGUCGAACGCUCGUAGCAAUACGGGAGUGGCAGACGGGUGAGUAACGCGUGGGAACAUACCCUCCGGUUCGGAAUAGCUCAGGGAAACUUGGAUUAAUACCGGAUACGGCCGAGAGGCGAAAGAUUUAUCGCCGGAGGAUUGGCCCGCGUUCGAUUAGCUAGUUGGUGAGGUAACGGCUCACCAAGGCGAUGAUCGAUAGCUGGUCUGAGAGGAUGAUCAGCCACAUUGGGGACUGAGACACGGCCCAAACUCCUACGGGAGGCAGCAGUGGGGAAUAUUGGACAAUGGGCGCAAGCCUGAUCCAGCCAUGCCGCGUGAGUGAUGACGGCCUUAGGGUUGUAAAGCUCUUUCGCUCGGGACGAUAAUGACGGUACCGAGAUAAGAAGCCCCGGCUAACUUCGUGCCAGCAGCCGC